AUGAUUUACGUAAUUCUGCUUUUUUCAAUGUUCUUUGGUAGCAGUUAUGAGGAGGAAAUAAUAUCAGCCACAACUGAAGAGCGUGUUUUUGAGGGUGAAGAAGAGCUUGUUCAGGAGGGAAGGAAUGUCCAUCUCUACUGCAAAUAUGAUGGCAUUGUCUACAAUCUACAGUGGUACCGCCAAUAUCCCAGAUCCCAACCAGAUGUCCUCUUGUACAUCACACCAAAGUGGUCUCGUCUGACACAAAGUGGACAAAGUGGACAAACACUGCCCUCCACAGUCAUGAAGUCCAGAAUGGUAUGUGGAGAUAGUGUGACUCCUGACAAGGAGGAGUACACCCCCACUGAGAGAUCAUCAGUAUCUCUGAGAUGUACAUAUGAAACACGCAGUAAUUAUGUUUCCCUUUACUGGUACCGGCAUUAUUGUAACCAUGCUCCUCAGUUUCUACUGUAUAAAGGUGCCAGAUCAUUGAGUUAUGUUGAACACAUCCCUGAUAAGAGAUAUAAAUCCACAACAUCCCGGACAUCAUCUGAACUGGUCAUAACAAGCCUAACCCUGGCAGACACAGCUCUCUACUACUGUGCUCUCAGGGAACAUACACAGUGA
Molecule: non-coding RNA, 606 nt
Organism: Oncorhynchus tshawytscha (Chinook salmon)
Lineage: Eukaryota; Metazoa; Chordata; Actinopteri; Salmoniformes; Salmonidae
Source: the annotation of a RefSeq genome assembly